GUCGAGAAUAAUUCACAAUGGACGAAAGUCUGAUGGUGCAACGCCGCGUGGAGGUUGAAGGUCUUCGGAUUGUAAACUCCUGUCAUCGGGGAGUAAGACCUGGCGGUAAAUAGCCGACAGGGUUGAUAGUACCCGAAGAGGAAGGGACGGCUAACUUCGUGCCAGCAGCCGCGGUAAUACGAAGGUCCCAAGCGUUGUUCGGAAUCACUGGGCGUAAAGGGAGCGUAGGCGGCGUGGUAAGUCAGAUGUGAAAUCCCGGGGCUCAACCCCGGAACUGCAUCCGAUACUGCCAUGCUUGAGGGUUGGAGAGGUAGCUGGAAUUCUCGGUGUAGCAGUGAAAUGCGUGGAUAUCGAGAGGAACACUCGUGGCGAAGGCGAGCUACUGGACAACAUCUGACGCUGAGGCUCGAAGGCCAGGGGAGCAAAAGGGAUUAGAUACCCGAGUAGUCC
RNAcentral lists this ribosomal RNA (450 nucleotides) under uncultured bacterium. Its description in RNAcentral is "partial 16S ribosomal RNA". It matches the Rfam family "Bacterial small subunit ribosomal RNA", at positions 354 to 796 of the family's 1533-position model. The record is from RNAcentral.